CUUUUGAAUUUAAUUUAAAAUAUUUAUUUUUCUAUUAAUAUAGAACCUUGGGCAGUAGUCGUUGAAUUGAGCAUUAAUGCAAAUCCAAUUUAUUGCACAACUGAUUAUUUAUUCAAUUGAACUUGUACGUCGACAAUGUGACCCUCAACGAUUUUAAAGAUUUAAUUAUUAGACAUAAAACACAGUUAGAAAUUAUUGCCUGGCCAACAUUUUCAUGCUAAUAGAUGAUUCAGAAACAAAUAUCUAUAUUUCUUUUCCUACGAAAAAGUAAGAUCAAACUAAAACAUUAGAAGCUUGUUUACCGUAUAUUUU
Schizosaccharomyces pombe (fission yeast) is the source of this 312-nucleotide non-coding RNA. The record is from the annotation of a GenBank genome assembly. NCBI's taxonomy places the organism in Eukaryota, Fungi, Ascomycota, Schizosaccharomycetes, Schizosaccharomycetales, Schizosaccharomycetaceae.